GGAUAGCACAGUCUGUAGAGCAUGAGACUCUUAAUCUCAGAGUCGUGGGUUUGAGCCCCUUGUUGGGCAACA
Molecule: non-coding RNA, 72 nt
Organism: Podarcis lilfordi (Lilford's wall lizard)
Lineage: Eukaryota; Metazoa; Chordata; Lepidosauria; Squamata; Lacertidae
Source: the annotation of a GenBank genome assembly